RNAcentral lists this ribosomal RNA (776 nucleotides) under uncultured Neocallimastigales. RNAcentral's name for it is "partial large subunit ribosomal RNA". It matches the Rfam family "Eukaryotic large subunit ribosomal RNA", at positions 22 to 644 of the family's 3401-position model. The record is from RNAcentral. Lineage: Eukaryota; Fungi; Neocallimastigomycota; Neocallimastigomycetes; Neocallimastigales.
GUACACGCUGUGACUAGCAUAUCAAUAAGCGGAGGAAAAGAAACUAACAAGGAUUCCCCUAGUAACGGCGAGUGAAGCGGGAAGAGCUCAAAUUUGAAAUCUUAAAGGGUUUCCCUUUACGAAUUGUAGUUUAAAGAAGUGUUUUCUGUUGAGGUUUUGGUAAAAGUUCUUUGGAAUAGGACAUCAUAGAGGGUGAGAAUCCCGUAUUUGACCUUUACUUUCAACUUUGUGAUACACUUUCAAAGAGUCGGAUUGUUUGGGAAUGCAGUCCAAAAUGGGUGGUAAAUUUCAUCUAAAGCUAAAUAUCGGCGAGAGACCGAUAGCGAACAAGUACCGUGAGGGAAAGAUGAAAAGAACUUUGAAAAGAGAGUUAAACAGUACGUGAAAUUGUCAAAAGGGAAGCGUUUGACACCAGUGUUGUUUUUCUGAAAAUCAAUUAAAGAACUGUUUAUGCUAAGUUGUUUAGACUUUAUCAGCUAACUGUUUAGUUUUGAGCUUUUCUUUAAUGCACUUUUCAGUUAACAAGUCAACAUCAAUUUCUUUUGCUGUAAAAAAGCUUGAGGAAGGUGGCUUGAGAUUCGUCUUAAGUGUUUAUAGCCUCUUGCCUAUGCAGUCGGAGAGAUUGAGGUCUGCAGCGUAGAUCCUUCGGGGCUAAUGACAUUUGUGCUAAGUUAUAGCAUUUUCAUAGACAACUUGUUGACUAUGAUUUAGUCUUGUAGCUUACUCGCUUAUGCUAUUUUACCUACGCUUAGGAUGUUGAAGAUAUGCGCGACACG